Molecule: transfer RNA, 72 nt
Filed under: Caudoviricetes sp.
Lineage: Duplodnaviria; Heunggongvirae; Uroviricota; Caudoviricetes
Description: tRNA-Arg
Rfam family: tRNA
About the family: Transfer RNA (tRNA) molecules are approximately 80 nucleotides in length. Their secondary structure includes four short double-helical elements and three loops (D, anti-codon, and T loops).
Source: RNAcentral
ACCCCAUUAGCAUAAUGGACAAUGCCCAGACCUUCUAAGUCUGUAAUACUGGUUCGAUUCCAGUAUGGGGUG